This 512-nucleotide small RNA is filed under the name Caulobacter vibrioides NA1000. Its description in RNAcentral is "small non-coding RNA". Lineage: Bacteria; Pseudomonadati; Pseudomonadota; Alphaproteobacteria; Caulobacterales; Caulobacteraceae. The record is from RNAcentral.
UCAGCAGCGGUCUUGAGCCGUAAAGCCAUGCGCUGGGCCGCGAGCGGGCUGAAUUGGCCAAUAUAGUCGCGGAUAGCCGUCAGAUCGGCCAGCGCACGCCAAGUCCAGACUACUUGCGCCACGUCUCGGGCGCGGGCUUUUCUUCGGGCGUCCCCCAAGUGUCGAGCCAGGCGGAGACCUCUUCGUGGGGUACAACGCGGCCGGCUGCGAUGUCGGCCAUGCCUUCCGCAUCGGCGGCCUCUUCGGCUUCCGCGUCAAUCUCGAAGAUGGACGGCUCGGGGACCAUGAAGCGAGCAUAGCAUAUCGCCAUACCCUCUCAAUGCCGCCCCGGGGUCACAGCCUUUGAGCGUGAAACGCCAGGUGAUCGCCGAUGAAGGUCGAGAUGAAGAAGUAGCUGUGGUCAUAGCCGUCCUGUCGGCGGACCGUGACCUUGCGGCCGGCCUUGGCGGCGGCGGCUUCGAUCAGCUGCGGCUUCAGCUGGUUUUCCAGGAAGCUGUCGGCCAGGCCCUGGU